ACGGAAGGCAGCAGUGGGGAAUAUUGGGCAAUGGGCGAAAGCCUGACCCAGCAACGCCGCGUGAGGGAAGAAGGUUCUCGGAUUGUAAACCUCUGUCCUAAGAGAAAAGGGGAAGAUGGUAUCUUAGGAGGAAGCCCCGGCUAACUACGUGCCAGCAGCCGCGGUAAUACGUAGGGAGCAAGCGUUAUCCGGAUUCACUGGGUGUAAAGGGCGUGUAGGCGGGACAUCAAGUCAGAUGUGAAAGCACGAGGCUCAACUUCGUGUCUGCAUUUGAAACUGACGUUCUUGAGUGUUGGAGAGGCUAACGGAACUCCUAGUGUAGCGGUGAAAUGCGUAGAUAUUAGGAAGAACACCAGUGGCGAAGGCGGUUAGCUGGACAAUAACUGACGCUGAGGCGCGAAAGCGUGGGUAGCAAACAGGAUUAGAUACCCUGGUA
RNAcentral lists this ribosomal RNA (436 nucleotides) under uncultured Oscillospiraceae bacterium. RNAcentral describes it as "bacterial SSU rRNA". It matches the Rfam family "Bacterial small subunit ribosomal RNA", at positions 341 to 792 of the family's 1533-position model. Lineage: Bacteria; Bacillati; Bacillota; Clostridia; Eubacteriales; Oscillospiraceae. The record is from RNAcentral.